AAAAAUCUCCAGUAUGGGCAAAUGGCGCCCCGAUGCGGUAUCGUGGCAGGUGUUGGCUCGCGCACGCUGUUUAAAGAGGCACUUUAACUGUGGCAGCCCUCGUGCAAUGCUUUGUAUUUAGUACAUUCACAUGCAUUUACAACUGAACCUCAACACGCAAGAAACACGCAACCCAAUUUUCCUUGCGCCCGCGACUGAAAUUUUACCAAGUCCAUGAUUCUUAGAUGACCCCAUAAUUUUUUAAUGCAGAUCGAUGCAGGUGGACUCUACGAUCCUAAUGUACCAUGUCCUUUGAAAAUCUGCAAGGAUAUGCCCGAGUUAUGGCUAUUUUUCUGCUCAGAAUACGAUUAUAUAUUUUCUGGAAUUGCUUUAUUUAAAUGUGUUUUUU
Long non-coding RNA from Drosophila novamexicana, 388 nucleotides. RefSeq lists it as uncharacterized. NCBI's taxonomy places the organism in Eukaryota, Metazoa, Arthropoda, Insecta, Diptera, Drosophilidae. The record is from RefSeq and is a predicted model, not a curated record. The transcript has 3 exons.